This is a small nucleolar RNA of Panthera leo (lion), 104 nucleotides long. The record is from Ensembl. NCBI's taxonomy places the organism in Eukaryota, Metazoa, Chordata, Mammalia, Carnivora, Felidae.
AUCCUCUUGUAGUUCAUAAGCAUGAUGAUUGGGUGUUCAUGCUGUUGUGUGAUAUGUGCCUCCCUUAAACCUUGUUACGACCUUGGCACAUUGCCUGUCUGACA